This 468-nucleotide ribosomal RNA is filed under the name uncultured bacterium. RNAcentral's name for it is "partial 16S ribosomal RNA". It matches the Rfam family "Bacterial small subunit ribosomal RNA", at positions 28 to 507 of the family's 1533-position model. The record is from RNAcentral.
GACGAACGCUGGCGGCGUGCUUAACACAUGCAAGUCGAACGGAAAGGCCCUGCUUUUGUGGGGUGCUCGAGUGGCGAACGGGGGAGUAACACGUGAGUAACCUGCCCUUGACCUUGGGAUAACUUCAGGAAACUGGGGCUAAUACCGGAUAGGAGCUCCUGCUGCAUGGUGGGGGUUGGAAAGUUUCGGCUGUUGGGGAUGGACUCGCGGCUUAUCAGCUUGUUGGUGGGGUAGUGGCUUACCAAGGCUUUGACGGGUAGCCGGCCUGAGAGGGUGACCGGCCACAUUGGGACUGAGAUACGGCCCAGACUCCUACGGGAGGCAGCAGUGGGGAAUAUUGCACAAUGGGCGGAAGCCUGAUGCAGCAACGCCGCGUGCGGGAUGACGGCCUUCGGGUUGUAAACCGCUUUCGCCUGUGACGAAGCGUGAGUGACGGUAAUGGGUAAAGAAGCACCGGCUAACUACGUG